UACGAAGGGGGCUAGCGUUGCUCGGAAUCACUGGGCGUAAAGCGCACGUAGGCGGAUUGCUAAGUCAGGGGGGAAAUCCUGGAGCUCAACUCCAGAACUGCCUUUGAUACUGGCGAUCUUGAGUCCGAGAGAGGUGAGUGGAACUGCGAGUGUAGAGGUGAAAUUCGUAGAUAUUCGCAAGAACACCAGUGGCGAAGGCGGCUCACUGGCCCGGUACUGACGCUGAGGUGCGAAAGCGUGGGGAGCAAACAGG
Molecule: ribosomal RNA, 253 nt
Filed under: uncultured bacterium
Lineage: Bacteria
Description: partial 16S ribosomal RNA
Rfam family: Bacterial small subunit ribosomal RNA
Source: RNAcentral